Molecule: ribosomal RNA, 1853 nt
Filed under: Staphylococcus aureus
Lineage: Bacteria; Bacillati; Bacillota; Bacilli; Caryophanales; Staphylococcaceae
Description: partial 23S ribosomal RNA
Rfam family: Bacterial large subunit ribosomal RNA
Source: RNAcentral
AAAGGAUGUGGCGUUGCCCAGACAACUAGGAUGUUGGCUUAGAAGCAGCCAUCAUUUAAAGAGUGCGUAAUAGCUCACUAGUCGAGUGACACUGCGCCGAAAAUGUAUCGGGGCUAAACAUAUUACCGAAGCUGUGGAUUGUCCUUUGGACAAUGGUAGGAGAGCGUUCUAAGGGCGUUGAAGCAUGAUCGUAAGGACAUGUGGAGCGCUUAGAAGUGAGAAUGCCGGUGUGAGUAGCGAAAGACGGGUGAGAAUCCCGUCCACCGAUUGACUAAGGUUUCCAGAGGAAGGCUCGUCCGCUCUGGGUUAGUCGGGUCCUAAGCUGAGGCCGACAGGCGUAGGCGAUGGAUAACAGGUUGAUAUUCCUGUACCACCUAUAAUCGUUUUAAUCGAUGGGGGGACGCAGUAGGAUAGGCGAAGCGUGCGAUUGGAUUGCACGUCUAAGCAGUAAGGCUGAGUAUUAGGCAAAUCCGGUACUCGUUAAGGCUGAGCUGUGAUGGGGAGAAGACAUUGAGUCUUCGAGUCGUUGAUUUCACACUGCCGAGAAAAGCCUCUAGAUAGAAAAUAGGUGCCCGUACCGCAAACCGACACAGGUAGUCAAGAUGAGAAUUCUAAGGUGAGCGAGCGAACUCUCGUUAAGGAACUCGGCAAAAUGACCCCGUAACUUCGGGAGAAGGGGUGCUCUUUAGGGUUAACGCCCAGAAGAGCCGCAGUGAAUAGGCCCAAGCGACUGUUUAUCAAAAACACAGGUCUCUGCUAAACCGUAAGGUGAUGUAUAGGGGCUGACGCCUGCCCGGUGCUGGAAGGUUAAGAGGAGUGGUUAGCUUCUGCGAAGCUACGAAUCGAAGCCCCAGUAAACGGCGGCCGUAACUAUAACGGUCCUAAGGUAGCGAAAUUCCUUGUCGGGUAAGUUCCGACCCGCACGAAAGGCGUAACGAUUUGGGCACUGUCUCAACGAGAGACUCGGUGAAAUCAUAGUACCUGUGAAGAUGCAGGUUACCCGCGACAGGACGGAAAGACCCCGUGGAGCUUUACUGUAGCCUGAUAUUGAAAUUCGGCACAGCUUGUACAGGAUAGGUAGGAGCCUUUGAAACGUGAGCGCUAGCUUACGUGGAGGCGCUGGUGGGAUACUACCCUAGCUGUGUUGGCUUUCUAACCCGCACCACUUAUCGUGGUGGGAGACAGUGUCAGGCGGGCAGUUUGACUGGGGCGGUCGCCUCCUAAAAGGUAACGGAGGCGCUCAAAGGUUCCCUCAGAAUGGUUGGAAAUCAUUCAUAGAGUGUAAAGGCAUAAGGGAGCUUGACUGCGAGACCUACAAGUCGAGCAGGGUCGAAAGACGGACUUAGUGAUCCGGUGGUUCCGCAUGGAAGGGCCAUCGCUCAACGGAUAAAAGCUACCCCGGGGAUAACAGGCUUAUCUCCCCCAAGAGUUCACAUCGACGGGGAGGUUUGGCACCUCGAUGUCGGCUCAUCGCAUCCUGGGGCUGUAGUCGGUCCCAAGGGUUGGGCUGUUCGCCCAUUAAAGCGGUACGCGAGCUGGGUUCAGAACGUCGUGAGACAGUUCGGUCCCUAUCCGUCGUGGGCGUAGGAAAUUUGAGAGGAGCUGUCCUUAGUACGAGAGGACCGGGAUGGACAUACCUCUGGUGUACCAGUUGUCGUGCCAACGGCAUAGCUGGGUAGCUAUGUGUGGACGGGAUAAGUGCUGAAAGCAUCUAAGCAUGAAGCCCCCCUCAAGAUGAGAUUUCCCAACUUCGGUUAUAAGAUCCCUCAAAGAUGAUGAGGUUAAUAGGUUCGAGGUGGAAGCAUGGUGACAUGUGGAGCUGACGAAUACUAAUCGAUCGAAGACUUAAUCAA